Molecule: transfer RNA, 85 nt
Filed under: Felis catus (domestic cat)
Lineage: Eukaryota; Metazoa; Chordata; Mammalia; Carnivora; Felidae
Also listed under: 2 other names
Rfam family: tRNA
About the family: Transfer RNA (tRNA) molecules are approximately 80 nucleotides in length.
Source: Rfam by way of RNAcentral
ACCUGGAUGGCUCAUUCAGUUGAGCAUCUGACUUCGGCUCAGGUCAUGAUCUCACAGUUUGUGGGUUCAAGCCCCGUGUCAGGUU